GACGAACGCUGGCGGCGUGCUUAACACAUGCAAGUCGAACGGAAAGGCCCUGCUUUUGUGGGGUGCUCGAGUGGCGAACGGGUGAGUAACACGUGAGUAACCUGCCCUUGACUUUGGGAUAACUUCAGGAGACUGGGGCUAAUACCGGAUAGGAGCUCCUGCUGCAUGGUGGGGGUUGGAAAGUUUCGGCGGUUGGGGAUGGACUCGCGGCUUAUCAGCUUGUUGGUGGGGUAGUGGCUUACCAAGGCUUUGACGGGUAGCCGGCCUGAGAGGGUGACCGGCCACAUUGGGACUGAGAUACGGCCCAGACUCCUUCGGGAGGCAGCAGUGGGGAAUAUUGCACAAUGGGCGGAAGCCUGAUGCAGCAACGCCGCGUGCGGGAUGACGGCCUUCGGGUUGUAAACCGCUUUCGCCUGUGACGAAGCGUGAGUGACGGUAAUGGGUAAAGAAGCACCGGCUAACUACGUG
This 468-nucleotide ribosomal RNA is filed under the name uncultured bacterium. Its description in RNAcentral is "partial 16S ribosomal RNA". It matches the Rfam family "Bacterial small subunit ribosomal RNA", at positions 28 to 507 of the family's 1533-position model. The record is from RNAcentral.